RNAcentral lists this ribosomal RNA (250 nucleotides) under uncultured bacterium. RNAcentral's name for it is "partial 16S ribosomal RNA". It matches the Rfam family "Bacterial small subunit ribosomal RNA", at positions 524 to 773 of the family's 1533-position model. The record is from RNAcentral.
UACGGAGGGUGCGAGCGUUGUUCGGAAUUACUGGGCGUAAAGCGCACGUAGGCGGGUCCAUAAGUCGAUUGUGAAAGCCCCGGGCUCAACCUGGGAAUUGCAGUCGAAACUACGGAUCUUGAAUGCUUGAGAGGAUGGGGGAAUUCCUGGUGGAGAAGUGAAAUUCGUAGAUAUCAGGAGGAACAUCUGAGGCGAAGGCGCCUGUCUGGCAAUGCAUUGACGCUGAGGUGCGAAAGCGUGGGGAGCAAAC